Non-coding RNA from Canis lupus familiaris (dog), 106 nucleotides. NCBI's taxonomy places the organism in Eukaryota, Metazoa, Chordata, Mammalia, Carnivora, Canidae. The record is from Rfam.
AGGAGGAACAACCCCAGUGGCGGCGGCCAGCUCUGGAGCCCUGGAGUCAGCUCCCGCAGUAACUCCGGAGCUCUCCAUCUGCAGGGCCUGGAUGCUCUGGGGGCGG